Molecule: long non-coding RNA, 1792 nt
Filed under: Gallus gallus (chicken)
Lineage: Eukaryota; Metazoa; Chordata; Aves; Galliformes; Phasianidae
Source: RNAcentral
AACACUGUAAGAGACAGCUGAACUUCUUUAGGCAUUUAUUGUGCUGUGAUCUCCCUGGCAGAUGAGGCUUUCUUCUGCCUUAAAGCUAACAAGGAUACUGGCAAUGCUUCCAAGUCAACCCACAAAGAAGUUCAUUUCUAGUAUUUAAGUCAGCUCCGUGACUGAGAUCACUAAACUAACGUACCUAGGCAAUCCAAGCCACGUGAUCCAGAGGGGAGACCAGCUGAAUCCUCGCUCCUUGAUGUCCAGAGAGGGAUCUGUGGGGUCUGUUGAAAGGAUUUCCAAGGCCUUCAGUAUGACUGAGUGGGAAGCUGCAUUAGAUUUCAGCGCUGAGACAGCUUCAUAGUAGUUCAGAUGAGUCAAAUCAAUCCCAUUUAUACUCAAAAGUACAUCUCCUCGCUUGAUUCUGCCAUCCCUGAAGAGGCACCCAAUGGGCUGUACGCUUGUUACAUAUAUAGGGAGCUUGUUUUUGUUAUCUCGUCCACCUCCAAUUGUUAUUCCUAGGGAUUCCUUUGGUUCCUUCUUUACUGCAACUGUCUUUUCAUGACUUACAUAUCCUGGAGGUAAUUCCUUCUGGUAGUUGGACUUCCGUCUGUAGUGACUCUGGUCUGGUCUUCUCCGGUGAUGCACUGGGCUUCCUCCUCCACUGCUGCUGCUGCUGUUUGACGUGCUGCCAUCUUCCCCUGGGUCUAACAGCUGCACACCUGGCUGCCUCAGGACCACGAAGUUUACUCUGGAUUCACUGGUCUGCCAGGAGCAAAAAGAAUAUGUGAAACCAUUAGAAAGCCAAGUCAAGCAAAAGAAGGCAAAACAGGAUGAUUGCUUCCUCCACUUUGGUACUUGCAACAAGAAUAGUGUAUCGCAACACAAAAUGAACAGCUACAAUGAACAAUCCACACAAUGGACAACCAUGAUAAAAGUAGUGGAUGCUUUUUGUUUUGCUGUAAAGAAACUUCUUAAAGCUCCUUUCCUCCCAGCCUAUACGCCACAUCUGUUGCUGAGCAUUUCUCCCAUCCAUUUUUCCCCCAGAUACCUGGAGACCUGACCUUUUGCCUAAGAUUCCUGCUAGUUAAAAACUCAACCAGCUGUAUAUCUGGCUUUGGCAGAACUACAGGGAAAGCAUUCACUAUUGUUACUGCUCUUCUAUCUGAAAGAACAAACUGAAUUAAUCCAACAAAACCUUAUUGUGAAGGACUCCAUGGGGGUAAGGCGUCUGUGCUUGCUUGGGGCAUUUCCUGCAACAGUUGAGAGAAGUACAGCUGCUGUUCUCACUAUUGGACAUGAACCCCUCUCCUCUGGUGCCACAGCACCAAGCAGCAAUGUAUUCCAUGGCCUGGGAAGAGGAACUGCAUCAACUGCUUUGCUUGUUGCUGUUGUUUUAGUCAGCUGGUUGGUCUGUGUGUGUUUUUAAACUACUGAAGGACAGGGUUUUCACAAAACACAAGUUUUAAGUCUCUCAUCUCCAGAAUCACUCCAGGAUGCAAUUUUUUUCCCCAGUGAAGUUGGCACAUAUCUGUGUCUCCACAAAAUAUAUUGUAAAUACUGCACCCUGCUUUGGGGAUUUGCCCUCCCCUUCAUACAGCAGACUAUGUACAGUACAAAUGGGUGUGCAUAUAUAGCAUAGGUGCAAAUGGCACUUCACAAUACAGAUAGGACUCUUUUUCUCCAAACAGUUUGCAAUCAAAAGUAGAACAAAGUUUAACCAAGAAGCUCUCAGAAGAACAGAUAACUUUUGGAAGAAUAUCAGUUCGACAGAAUGUCACUUCAAAAGGAAUUAAAUUCCCAAAGCCAG